AACGAACGCUGGCGGCAUGCCUAACACAUGCAAGUCGAACGAGACCUUCGGGUCUAGUGGCGCACGGGUGCGUAACGCGUGGGAACCUGCCCUUAGGUUCGGAAUAACUCCCCGAAAGGGGUGCUAAUACCGGAUAAUGUCUUCGGACCAAAGAUUUAUCGCCUUUGGAUGGGCCCGCGUUGGAUUAGCUAGUUGGUAGGGUAAAAGCCUACCAAGGCGACGAUCCAUGGCUGGUCUGAGAGGAUGACCAGCCACACUGGGACUGAGACACGGCCCAGACUCCUACGGGAGGCAGCAGUGGGGAAUAUUGGACAAUGGGCGAAAGCCUGAUCCAGCAAUGCCGCGUGAGUGAUGAAGGCCUUAGGGUUGUAAAGCUCUUUUACCCGGGAUGAUAAUGACAGUACCGGGAGAAUAAGCUCCGGCUAACUCCGUG
This 433-nucleotide ribosomal RNA is filed under the name uncultured bacterium. RNAcentral describes it as "partial 16S ribosomal RNA". It matches the Rfam family "Bacterial small subunit ribosomal RNA", at positions 29 to 507 of the family's 1533-position model. The record is from RNAcentral.